AUUGAACGCUGGCGGAAUGCUUUACACAUGCAAGUCGAACGGCAGCACGGGUGCUUGCACCUGGUGGCGAGUGGCGAACGGGUGAGUAAUGCACCGGAACGUAUCCAAUAAUGGGGGGAUAACGCACCGAAAGGUGUGCUAAUACCGCAUACGCCCUGAGGGGGAAAGCGGGGGAUCGUAAGACCUCGCGUUAAUGGAGCGGCCGAUGCCGGAUUAGCUAGUUGGUGAGGUAAAGGCUCACCAAGGCGACGAUCCGUAGCUGGUCUGAGAGGACGACCAGCCACACUGGAACUGAGACACGGUCCAGACUCCUACGGGAGGCAGCAGUGGGGAAUUUUGGACAAUGGGCGCAAGCCUGAUCCAGCCAUUCCGCGUGAGUGAAGAAGGCCUUCGGUUGUAAG
This 401-nucleotide ribosomal RNA is filed under the name uncultured bacterium. RNAcentral describes it as "bacterial SSU rRNA". It matches the Rfam family "Bacterial small subunit ribosomal RNA", at positions 30 to 429 of the family's 1533-position model. The record is from RNAcentral.